Haliaeetus leucocephalus (bald eagle) is the source of this 2638-nucleotide RNA transcript. It is a transcript of the gene named myotubularin related protein 2, with no coding region annotated. The transcript has 13 exons. NCBI's taxonomy places the organism in Eukaryota, Metazoa, Chordata, Aves, Accipitriformes, Accipitridae. The record is from RefSeq and is a predicted model, not a curated record.
CUAAAUCUGCUUCUGCUAUAUCGUCCGACUCAAUCUCCACCUCAGCAGACAACUUCUCUCCAGAUUUAAGGGUCCUGAGGGAGACCAAUAAAUUAGCUGAAAUGGAAGAGCCACCUUUGCUACCAGGAGAAACCAUUAAAGACAUGGCUAAGGAUGUUACUUACAUCUGCCCCUUCACUGGAGCAAUCAGAGGAACCCUUACUGUUACCAAUUAUAGACUGUAUUUUAAAAGCAUGGAACGGGACCCUCCUUUUGUCCUAGAUGCAUCUUUAGGUGUAAUCAACAGAGUGGAGAAAAUUGGAGGUGCUUCCAGUCGCGGUGAGAAUUCAUAUGGGCUGGAGAUUGUAUGCAAGGAUAUUCGAAAUUUGCGAUUUGCUCAUAAACCUGAAGGGAGAACUAGACGAUCCAUAUUUGAGAACCUAAUGAAAUAUGCUUUCCCAGUUUCAAAUAAUCUGCCACUUUUUGCAUUUGAGUACAAAGAGGUUUUCCCAGAAAAUGGAUGGAAGGUGUAUGACCCCACUUGGGAGUACAGAAGACAGGGAAUUCCCAAUGAAAGCUGGAGGUUGACCAAGAUUAAUGAGCGCUAUGAACUGUGUGAUACGUACCCUGCCAUUCUAGCUGUGCCUGUAAACAUUCCGGAUGAAGAAUUAAAGAGAGUAGCAUCUUUCAGAUCAAGAGGACGCAUACCAGUAUUGUCAUGGAUUCACCCAGAAAGUCAAGCAACGAUCACUCGCUGUAGCCAGCCAAUGGUGGGAGUGAGUGGCAAGCGAAGCAAGGAAGAUGAAAAGUACCUUCAAGCCAUCAUGGAUUCUAAUGCUCAAUCCCAUAAAAUCUUCAUAUUUGAUGCAAGGCCUAGUGUGAAUGCUGUAGCCAAUAAGGCUAAAGGAGGGGGCUAUGAGAGUGAGGAUGCCUAUCAGAAUGCAGAAUUAGUGUUCCUGGACAUUCACAAUAUUCAUGUUAUGAGAGAGUCGCUGAGAAAACUGAAAGAAAUUGUGUAUCCCAAUAUCGAGGAGACUCACUGGCUGUCUAAUUUAGAGUCAACUCACUGGCUGGAGCAUAUCAAGCUCAUUCUCGCUGGAGCCCUUCGAAUAGCUGACAAGGUGGAGUCGGGGAAGACAUCUGUGGUUGUACACUGCAGUGAUGGCUGGGACCGGACAGCCCAGCUGACCUCUCUCUCUCUGCUCAUGUUAGAUGGCUACUACCGAACUAUCAGGGGCUUUGAAGUGUUAGUGGAGAAGGAGUGGCUGAGCUUCGGCCACAGAUUUCAGCUGAGAGUUGGCCAUGGAGAUAAGAAUCAUGCAGAUGCGGAUCGCUCUCCCGUCUUUCUCCAGUUCAUCGACUGUGUCUGGCAAAUGACAAGACAGUUUCCUACAGCAUUUGAGUUCAAUGAGUACUUCCUGAUAACCAUCCUGGAUCACCUGUACAGCUGUUUGUUUGGGACAUUCCUGUGCAGCAGUGAGCAGCAGAGAGUGAAGGAGGUAAGACAGCUUCUCUCCAAGGUGAAGGCCAGGUACUGCGAUGGCUUUAGCUGGCCAGCUGCUACUAGAGAAGUUGUUUCAGCACUCAAAGAUAGUGGUAGAUGCAGGUCUGGGUAAUGCCAAGCCCCCUUCUUAACAGCUGGGACAUGGGGUAUUUUCCUCUUCGCACAAACUGCUGUCUGUUGGAGACUUCACAUUUCAGAGCAAUACCAUUUCCCUCUGGGCAGUCCCACUGCUUUCAGCAUGGCUUUCAGCUACUCACUGGUGGCUGAAUAGCUCCUGGUGUCUCCCAGGUAGUUGGAAAUGCAGUUUUUCUUUGAACUUCAGUUUAAUGUAACCUUCUCUGGGGAAACCGGUACCUUUUUGUCCUCCCUUUUCCUUGAAGAGGUCCCUUGAGGUUGCUUUUAACUACCCAGUGUGCAUUGUCAUUCUGCACACAUAGGUUACAGCAAGUAACUGGUCUCAGUGUGUGUUCUUGCUGUGCUUGCAUUUUUCCGGGAGAGGACAGAGCUGCUAGUAUUAGGAAGGACAUGCCUCUAGGUCCUGCCACUAGCCAGCUCUGCCCUGCAGUCUGGUGGAGGUUUGUUUGCCAAGGGAGGAGCAUAUAGAUGUGUACAUUCAGACCCAGCCUGGAAUCAGAAAGAGAAGCAGUGACCCUCAUUCUGUCUCACCUACCUAAAGAUGAAGCAUUUUGUCACCAGAAUGUUGCAACUCAACAUCACAGAGCAAGUCUUCCAGGAGCACUUUAAAGAGGUGAAGUUUAACUAAAGCAUUGAGAGUUCACAUGCCAGCGUCCCCUUGCUGUGCCAAUGACGAUUCCUGGUCUGUGUUGGCAGCUGGGUGGGUAAGAGGGGAUGUUUCCAUGCCAGGCUGUGUGUGUGCCUGCCUGCAUGCAUGUGCUUUGAUUACAACCACCACAUCAAAAGAAUGGGGUUUUUUUUCUUAAGCUACAAAAGGGCAACCAGCUCUGUAUUAAUGACAGGCAUACGUAUAUGCUGUUAUACUCUGUAGAUAAAUGCUGGGAUUUGUAUGGGAAAUAAGGCCUCCUCCACCCCCUUCCCUUACAGAGCCUUCCAAAAAAGACCGUUUCGCUUUGGUCUUACAUCAACAGCCAACUGGAAGACUUCACUAACCCCUUGUACGUGAGCUACUCCAACCAC